UUACGGCCAUAUCACGUUGAAACACCGGUACCCGUUCGAUCACCGAAGUUAAGCAAAUUCGAGCCUGGUCUGUAUCUGGAUCGGUGACAACUCGGGAAUGAC
Molecule: non-coding RNA, 102 nt
Organism: Acanthosepion pharaonis
Lineage: Eukaryota; Metazoa; Mollusca; Cephalopoda; Sepiida; Sepiidae
Source: the annotation of a GenBank genome assembly